AUAGAGUUUGAUCCUGGCUCAGGAUGAACGCUAGCGGCAGGCCUAAUACAUGCAAGACGAACGGUAAGUGGUGUAGCAAUACAUCACCUAGAGUGUCGUAAGGGUGCGUAACAAGUAUGCAAUCUGCCCUCAACUGGAGGAUAGCUCCCCGAAAGGGGAAUUAACACUCCAUAAUAUGUGUGAGCCGGCAUCGGCUAGACAUUAAAACUCCGGUGGUUGGGGAUGAGCAUGCUUCUGAUUAGUUAGUUGGUGGUGUAACGGACCACCAAGACGAUGAUCAGUAGGGGAACUGAGAGGUUGAUCCCCCACACUGGCACUGAGAUACGGGCCAGACUCCUACGGGAGGCAGCAGUAGGGAAUAUUGGUCAAUGGAUGCAAGUCUGAACCAGCCAUGCCGCGUGCAGGAAGAAGGCCUUCUGGGUUGUAAACUGCUUUUAUCUGGGGAUAAAAAGGGGGUGCGCCCCCAACUGAAGGUACCAGAUGAAUAAGCCACGGCUAACUACGUGCCAGCAGCCGCGGUAAUACGUAGGUGGCAAGCGUUGUCCGGAUUUGUUGGGUUUAAAGGGUGCGUAGGCGGUCUACUAAGUCAGUGCUGAAUAUCCCGGCUUAACCGGGAGGGUGGCAUUGAUACUGAUGGACUUGAGUGCAGUCGAGGUAGGCGGAAUUGACGGUGUAGCGGUGAAAUGCUUAGAUAUCGUCAAGAACACCGAUAGUGAAGACAGCUUACUAGACUGUAACUGACGCUGAGGCACGAAAGUGUGGGGAUCAAACAGGAUUAGAUACCCCGGUAGUCCACGCCAUAAACGAUGAGAACUAGACGUUGAGAGGGUAAGCCUCGCAGUGUCGCAGCUAACGCGUUAAGUUCUCCGCCUGGGGAGUACGGUCGCAAGGUUGAAACUCAAAGGAAUUGACGGGGACCCGCACGAGCGGUGGAGCAUGUGGUUUAAUUCGAUGCAACGCGAAGAACCUUACCUGGUCUUGACAUCCUGGGAACCCUGCAGAGAUGCGGGGGUGCCUUCGGGAACCCAGAGACAGGUGCUGCAUGGCUGUCGUCAGCUCGUGUCGUGAGAUGUUGGGUUAAGUCCCGCAACGAGCGCAACCCUUGUCCUUAGUUGCCAUCAUUUAGUUGGGAACUCUAAGGAGACCGCCGGUGACAAACCGGAGGAAGGUGGGGAUGACGUCAAGUCAUCAUGGCCUUUAUGACCAGGGCUACACACGUGCUACAUUGGUAGGUACAGAGGGAAGCCAACGCGCGAGCGGGAGCCAAUCCCAGAAAGCCUAUCGUAGUCCGGAUCGGAGUCUGCAACUCGACUCCGUGAAGUCGGAAUCGCUAGUAAUCGCAGAUCAGCAUUGCUGCGGUGAAUACGUUCCCGGGUCUUGUACACACCGCCCGUCACACCAUGGGAGUUGAUUGCACCAGAAGCAGGUAGCCUAACCGCAAGGAGGGCGCCUACCACGGUGUGGUCAAUGACUGGGGUGAAGUCGUAACAAGGUAACCAAUC
This 1502-nucleotide ribosomal RNA is filed under the name uncultured soil bacterium. Its description in RNAcentral is "bacterial SSU rRNA". It matches the Rfam family "Bacterial small subunit ribosomal RNA". The record is from RNAcentral.